AUUGAACGCCGGCGGCAGGCCUAACACAUGCAAGUCGAGCGGAUGAAGGGAGCUUGCUCCUGGAUUCAGCGGCGGACGGGUGUGUAAUGCCUAGGAAUCUGCCUGGUAGUGGGGGAUAACGUCCGGUAACGGGCGCUAAUACCGCAUACGUCCUUUGGGAGAAAGUGGGGGUUCUUCGGACCUCUCGCUAUCAGAUGAGCCUAGGUCGGAUUAGCUAGUUGGUGGGGUAAAGGCCUACCAAGGCGACGAUCCGUAACUGGUCUGAGAGGAUGAUCAGUCACACUGGAACUGAGACACGGUCCAGACGCCUACGGGAGGCAGCAGUGGGGAAUAUUGGACAAUGGGCGAAAGCAUGAUACAGCAAAGCCGCGUGUGUGAAGAAGGUCUUCGGAUUGUAAAGCACUUUAAGUUGGGAGGAAGGGAAGUAAGUUAAUACCUUGCUGUUUUGACGUUAACAACAGAAUAAGCACCGGCUAACUUCGUG
This 484-nucleotide ribosomal RNA is filed under the name uncultured bacterium. Its description in RNAcentral is "partial 16S ribosomal RNA". It matches the Rfam family "Bacterial small subunit ribosomal RNA", at positions 30 to 507 of the family's 1533-position model. The record is from RNAcentral.